CCCCCCAAUUCCUUGUGUUCGUGUUCAAAACUACUUGAACAUAUAGGAAAAGCUCUUAAGAAUUUGACGAGGUAGAUAAAGCACUUGCUGUGUGUGGAGGUAUGAGGACCAGAUCGGAUCCCCAGCACUCAAGUAAAAGCCAGACAGACAUGAUGGCCACCUAUAAUUCAUAAUUCUAGCACUUGGCAGGAAGAGCCUGGAGAUCCUUUGGACAAGCUAGCUAGUUAGACACCAGUUCAACUUCACACACACACACACACACACACACACAAACACACACACACACACACACACACCAGCAGCCAUAAUACUUGAUAGCUCAACAGAAUACUGUCAUGGAUAAUGCCCAUUUUAAUUGCACAUUGUAUGUUUUACUCCAAGGGAUAAAUUUAAUUCUUUGAGUUUUGCUGUUAUUUGAGGGUUUUAAGAGUUUGAGGGGCCAAACAUAAGAAGGAAGGGCUGAAGAUCUUCCCUAUCUUUGCACCAACUUCUCUGCCUAGCUACGUAUUCAGCUAGGGCACAAGAGCCAUCCUUGAGUACAACUAUGUCUCUAAGAUGGGACUUUUGUUCAUUGGUUUGACUGGGCCAUUAGGUACCCAAAUAUUUGUUGGAACAUUCUGGAAGUAUCUAUAAAUAUAUUUGGGGCUGACUUUAAUAUUUUAAUCUAUAAGUUAAAUAAGACAGAAUGCCCUCCCUAAUGUGGGUAAAAAGGUUUAAUAGAAUUAGAUAAUUGGUGUUCUCCCAUAUCUAUAAGAGGUAACUUCCCUUGUCCAACUGUCUUCUGGGUUGGACACUGUUUCUAUCUUGCUUUUCGCUUAGAACUAUGCCAUUGGUCUAAUGUCUACAAAGCGCUUGUCUAAGGACUUAUCAGCCUCCAUAAUCAUGAGCAAAUUCCCUAUAGUAACUCAUGUCCAAAUGGCCAAAGGAAGUCUGUGACCAAUUCAGAGUCAGUGAUGGAAAAGUCCAUAAUGCACUUAGGUACCAUUGCCAGAAGCCUGGAUUAUCAAGACUCCAGCAUAUCCACUGCCAAUGUGGGAACUCCAAGUAUCAGCAGAAUUCUCAGUAAUUGGCACUUGCCUGGCACCUAUAGUACAAACUUCAAAUCUGGAUGAUCAAACUCCCCCAGGACAAUUCUGGAAUUUGUGAAUAGUUUGCGUGUUCUAGUAAAAUAUAUGUACAUUUUUUAAUCUUUUAAAAAUUCAUUUGUUCUCUCUCUCUCUCUCUCUCUCUCUCUGUGUGUGUGUGUGUGUGUGUGUGUAUGUGUAUGCACACACAUGUGUUGGCAUGUAUACCACAGGUGUGGGCAUGGAGGUCAGAAUUAGGGAGUGAGCUCUCAAGAAGGGUCUCUGUUAUUUUUCUUGCUGUGCUUAGUACUACAGGGUAGACUGCCUGGCAGCUCACAACUGUGUGAGAGUCUCCAUUCUCUGCCUCCUGUCCCACCUAGGAGUGUGGAGAUUACAGCUGCCUGCUACUGUAUCUAGCUCUCUUAGGUAGGUCUUGAGGAUUAAACUCAAGUCAUCAACCUUGUUGUGGCGAGUAAUUUUACCCACUGAGCUAUCUUGAUAGCGCUGUUUUUGUUUUUUUGAUUGUUGGUUGGGCUUUUUGUUUUGAGAUAGGAUCUAGCUAGGUAACCUAGGCUGGCCUUGAGCUCACUUUAUAGCCCAGGCUGUCCUCCACCUAAGUGAUUACCCUGCUUCAGGCUCUCAGGUACUGGAAUUUUGUGGUGAUAUAUUAUUUAUGAUUUAUUAAAUCUUGCCUGAGGAUUCAGAAAGCAAAGCCAGCCUCGAGCUAUUGAGAUCAGGCAGUGGUGACACACACCUUUAAGCCCAGCAGCCAGAAGUUAGGAGGUGGUGGUACACACCUUUAAUCCUAGGACUCAGGGCUAAGAGGUAGAUGGAUCUCUGUGAAUCCAAGGCCACCCAGAUCUAUAUUGAUUCAGUCCUAAAGAGAAACAGCUCACACAAAGAUGAGCUCAGCACCUGGGAUCACACACCUUUAAUCCCAGCAUUAGGGAGGUAUAUAAGAUAGGAGCAGGGUCUUCAACAUUCAGUAUGAGGCAUUCAUUCUCCAGCCACAUGGCAGAUAGGAAGACAUUGAGGUCCCAGGAUUCUCCAGCCGCACUGAGGAGAGGGUUCAGUCUGAGGUUUGGUAGAACUCUUGGAUGGGCCAUUUCACUCUGAGGUAGAGUGAGAGCUAGUGCCCAGCUGCUUUGCUUUUCUGAUACUCAGCUUGAAGCCUGAAUCCCCAUAUCAGUCUCUGGAUCUCUUAUUUAUUGAGCAACAGAAUUACAAGCAUGAGCCAUCAUGCCUAGCACCAUGCAUGUGUGAAAUGUAUGGUUUUAUGAUAUACUACAUAGUUUGUAAUAUAUGGUACAUUGGGCAUCAUGUAGAUCUUUAAAAAUACGUGUAUAGGAGGUAAUGUUACACACGAUUUCUCUUUCAUUUAAAGUUACAUAACACUAUGCAUGGUGGCGCAAGCCAGUAAUUUCAGUACUUAGGAGCUAGAGGCCAAAGAAUUAGAAGUGCCAAGUCAUUCUAACUACACAUAGUUCAAGGCCAGCCUGGGUUACAUUAGAAUUUGUCUCAAAAAACUAGUGACUCAAUAGUUGUACAACCAGGCGAUAUUUCAGAUGAUGUUUAUGAAAUUUAGUUAACUUGAGUGUUGCAAGGAUGAGCCUUCAGUUAUUUGUCCUGACGAGAUAGAUAAACUUACAUAUGUAAUUCAUUUGACGAAGUCUGGCUCUGUAAGCCCAGGCUGGCCUUCAACUUGUGGCAAUCCUCUUGCCUCAACCAAAGUGCUGAGAUUAGGGGUGUGAUACACCGCGCCCGACUUGAAAUUAUUUUUCGUUUUAUCUGUAUGCUGUGAGUAUGGGACAAACAGCCUGAGGAGUUUGAUGCUUCGGGGACUAGUAAGAAAAAAAAAAAUCAUGAACUUCUAGUUACUUGAACAGACACCACCCUCCUCUUGGUCCCCAAAUUUGCCUCUUUACAAAGGCUAAUUUGCCUCUGCCUUAUGUAUGAUUUUAUCUUACAGCAUACACAGUAUUCGUUUGCAGCUUGCAGAGUAGAACAGAUGAUGCAGUUACUGAGACCUUCAACUGGAAGCUCUAAAACUGAGCAGAGACAUACAGUAGGGCACUCACAACUCUGAUUGGCAGUUGAAGUGGCAGUUGAUGUGGAGUCGUGCUGCCAUGAGGUACUCUUAUCUGUCCGCAGGCCACACCUCUGGGCCGAGGAGGCAGCUCUGAACAGAUGGAAAGAGCCCCGAGCCACAACGGGUGCACUGCCCCUCCCGCCGGGACCGGUCCCUGCGGGAGCUGAAACAUGAUUCCCGGACGCUGAGUGCGCACUGUUUGGUCCAAGAGAGACUCACGGAGGGUGAGGGUAUGCUUGGCACCCGAGUGCUCAAAGGAACCAAAUGGCUGUUGGUUCCGGUCAGUGGCGGAACUGGGCCCCAGUGGCCAGGUCCAAGCUGGCGGCGGGGGAGGGGCUGGGCAGGAUUUCCCGCCUCCCGCAGUGGCUGCUCCAGCUGCGACUUCAAAGGAGGCCCGGGAGCUGGAGCGGGCUGGGGGCGUCGCCAGAGCCUGCCUGGCGAUGAACCUCCUCGGGAAGACCGUGCUGAAACGCCGCUGCGAGCAUCACCCGCCACGUUUACAGUAGGGAAGGCUUUCCUCCGAAAAGCAGGAGCGGAGUUGAUUGCAAUUUAGCUCCUCUCUGUGAGAGUCACAGAAAGGAGAGGCUCCGCCGGUGCACCCGGAGUCCCAGGCGAGCUCGGGCAGGACCCCUGUCGCUGCGCCCGGCGAGGCAUGCCGGGCCACGGAAACCAUUUCUUUUCAGGAGCGGGGAUGGCCUUUGGGACUCCUUUGGUCAUGCGCCUUGUGUCGCUGCCGCCUCCGGAGCGGAGAGCGCAGCUGGCGGAGAAAACGCAUUCUUGCUCCUUCCCGCCCGAGGGAGAUGGCCAGGGCGCGGGCACCCGUGACCUCCCGAGUGAGGUUACCAGAUCCCAAGCCGGGAAUCUCGGCUUACGCCCUGCCAUUGGGGGUUUCCGACAAGCAAUCAGAGGGCAGAGGUUGGUUACCCUAAACUUUGACAUACGGGGGAAAAUGCCCAGAAUUCACCAACACGCCCUGUUUCGCACUGGUCCUUUGAACAGCUUCCUAGAGAAGGUGAAGUGUUGGGGGGUUAACUGGUUCGGAGACCAGGAAGAGACAGUUGGAUUCCCCCCCCUCCACCCCCCGUUUUCCCACGUUGCUGAAGGCUCAGGCAGGCUCAGCGCUGCCACCUGGCGGCUGCUUCUCCCGGAUUGGGAGGCGCCGUCUGCACUCAGCAGCGCCACAGUUCUAGGUGGGUGUGCCAGGCCUGUCUGGGGAAACAGAG
This 4376-nucleotide long non-coding RNA is filed under the name Cricetulus griseus (Chinese hamster). Its description in RNAcentral is "lncRNA (ENSCGRG00015034845.1)". The record is from RNAcentral. Lineage: Eukaryota; Metazoa; Chordata; Mammalia; Rodentia; Cricetidae.